RNAcentral lists this ribosomal RNA (447 nucleotides) under uncultured bacterium. RNAcentral describes it as "partial 16S ribosomal RNA". It matches the Rfam family "Bacterial small subunit ribosomal RNA", at positions 29 to 523 of the family's 1533-position model. The record is from RNAcentral.
AACGAACGCUGGCGGCAGGCUUAACACAUGCAAGUCGAGCGCACCGCGAGGUGAGCGGCGGACGGGUUAGUAACGCGUGGGAACGUGCCCUUUUCGUCGGAAUAGCCUCGGGAAACUGAGGGUAAUACCGGAUACGCCCUUUGGGGGAAAGAUUUAUCGGGGAAGGAUCGGCCCGCGUCUGAUUAGGUAGUUGGUGGGGUAAAGGCCCACCAAGCCGACGAUCAGUAGCUGGUUUGAGAGGAUGAUCAGCAACACUGGGACUGAGACACGGCCCAGACUCCUACGGGAGGCAGCAGUGGGGAAUCUUAGACAAUGGGCGCAAGCCUGAUCUAGCCAUGCCGCGUGGAUGAAGAAGGCCUUAGGGUCGUAAAGUCCUUUCGCUGGGGAAGAUAAUGACGGUACCCAGUAAAGAAACCCCGGCUAACUCCGUGCCAGCAGCCGCCGCGG